GUCUGUGGAAUGCGUGAUGCUCGGGUAGCCACACCCCCGGGCUGGGCCAUCACUAGCACACCUGCUCUCCAUCCCGGUGAUUACACGGAGAUCCACUUAAUCCGGCGCUGACGGAUGCUCCACGCCAGUCCGUAGUCAUCCCCACAGUGGUAACCAGACUUCCACGAAAAGUGUGCAUUCUCUUCUGCUUGGAACUUUGUUUAACCUGCCUACUUCUGUCCAGAUUUCUACUCGGCGUCUGCUACCUGCCUGUCCUCCGGCUCAACUGGAUCUCGCGGCGCUCACCUGGCCCACUCGCCAUUCCACGGACUUCCUGCCCCCACGGACUGCCACACUUCCCUCCCGAGCUCCCACGGUUCCGUUCUAUCCCCCCCGCCGUCCCGAUCCCGGCUUCCUCGUGUCAUUGUUUCCCCGGAUUUUUAGUUUCUGUUUUGCUCUCUACUUUCCCCGGGUCGCCUUUCGUUGUUUUAAUAAAGUGUCUUUUUGUUAGCUCGGAG
This is a long non-coding RNA of Astatotilapia calliptera (eastern happy), 497 nucleotides long. NCBI's taxonomy places the organism in Eukaryota, Metazoa, Chordata, Actinopteri, Cichliformes, Cichlidae. The record is from Ensembl.